RNAcentral lists this ribosomal RNA (508 nucleotides) under uncultured microorganism. Its description in RNAcentral is "bacterial SSU rRNA". It matches the Rfam family "Bacterial small subunit ribosomal RNA", at positions 9 to 517 of the family's 1533-position model. The record is from RNAcentral.
GAGUUUGAUCUUGGCUCAGGAUGAACGCUAGCGGGAGGCCUAACACAUGCAAGCCGAGCGGUAUUGUUUCUUCGGAAAUGAGAGAGCGGCGUACGGGUGCGGAACACGUGUGCAACCUGCCUUUAUCUGGGGGAUAGCCUUUCGAAAGGAGGAUUAAUACUCCAUAAUAUAUUGAACGGCAUCGUUUAAUAUUGAAAGCUCCGGCGGAUAGAGAUGGGCACGCGCAAGAUUAGCUAGUUGGUGAGGUAACGGCUCACCAAGGCGAUGAUCUUUAGGGGGCCUGAGAGGGUGAUCCCCCACACUGGUACUGAGACACGGACCAGACUCCUACGGGAGGCAGCAGUGAGGAAUAUUGGUCAAUGGGUGCAAGCCUGAACCAGCCAUCCCGCGUGAAGGACGACUGCCCUAUGGGUUGUAAACUUCUUUUGUAUAGGGAUAAACCUACCCUCGUGAGGGUAGCUGAAGGUACUAUACGAAUAAGCACCGGCUAACUCCGUGCCAGCAGCCG